Molecule: ribosomal RNA, 494 nt
Filed under: uncultured bacterium
Lineage: Bacteria
Description: partial 16S ribosomal RNA
Rfam family: Bacterial small subunit ribosomal RNA
Source: RNAcentral
GACGAACGCUGGCGGCGCGCUUAACACAUGCAAGUCGAACGGAAAGGCCUGCUUUCCCUUGUGGAUUGCGGGUACUCGAGUGGCGAACGGGUGAGUAACACGUGAGUGAUCUGCCCCCAACUUGGGUAUAAGCCUGGGAAACUGGGUCUAAUUCCCGAUAGGACUGCAGGGUGGUGCCUGUGGUGGAAAACGAUUUUCUAGUGGUUGGGGAUGAGCUCGCGGCCUAUCAGCUUGUUGGUGGGGUAAUGGCCUACCAAGGCGGCGACGGGUAGCCGGCCUGAGAGGGUGGACGGCGACAUUGGGACUGAGAUACGGCCCAGACUGCUACGGGAGGCAGGAGUGGGGGAUAUUGCACAAUGGGCGGAAGCCUGAUGCAGCGACGCCGCGUGGGGGAUCACGGCCUUCGGGUUGUAAACUCCUUUCGACCGCGAGGAAGCCACCUGGUUGGAAGGGUGGUGACGGUAGUGGUAGAAGAAGCACCGGCUAACUACGUG